UCAAUGUGUCUCUAUGGGUUGUCAUCCUCCGAAAGGGUUUGUUGCCAUGAACUCGAUGAUUCCAUUAUUCAAUUUAUAGUGGGUUGUAGCAAGUGCCGAAUCUAAAUUUUGCAUAUGAAAGUCCUCUAAUGAUGGUGUUGCUAACUUCCCUAGCGACAUUUCUUCAUUAUCCAUUUGUUGGACGAAUAGAUCCAUCUAGACACUGAAAAGAAAAAUAAAAAAAUCUACACAAAAUUUAAGUAUUAGCGGGUUAGUAAAAUCAAUACAAAGAUCAAAUACAACAAACUAAGUUGUUCCCUGGCAACGGUGCCAUAAAAGCUUGUUGACGGCAGUUAGCGCACCAAUUCGUGUAACGCAAGCGCGUGGAUUAGUUAUAGCUUUUCCCUUAGAGUAUUCCCCCAAAGUUACUAAUCCGUGGAACAAGUGGAUUGCUGGCUCUCACUUUAUACCAAUCUUGCUAA
RNAcentral lists this long non-coding RNA (461 nucleotides) under Setaria viridis. RNAcentral describes it as "long non-coding RNA (SVIR_LNC010444)". Lineage: Eukaryota; Viridiplantae; Streptophyta; Magnoliopsida; Poales; Poaceae. The record is from RNAcentral.